GCCGACAACCAUAUCACGUCGAAAACACUGGUCCUUGCCAGGUAACUGGAGUUAAGCGACAUUGGGUCUGUUCAGCACUCACACGCGUGACCGCCUGUGGACAUCGGGUGUUACCGGCU
Molecule: non-coding RNA, 119 nt
Organism: Schistosoma mattheei
Lineage: Eukaryota; Metazoa; Platyhelminthes; Trematoda; Strigeidida; Schistosomatidae
Source: Rfam